Molecule: ribosomal RNA, 404 nt
Filed under: Staphylococcus condimenti
Lineage: Bacteria; Bacillati; Bacillota; Bacilli; Caryophanales; Staphylococcaceae
Description: bacterial SSU rRNA
Rfam family: Bacterial small subunit ribosomal RNA
Source: RNAcentral
CGACAGAUGAGGAGCUUGCUCCUCUGACGUUAGCGGCGGACGGGUGAGUAACACGUGGGUAACCUACCUAUAAGACUGGAAUAACUCCGGGAAACCGGGGCUAAUGCCGGAUAAUAUGUGGAACCGCAUGGUUCUGCAAUGAAAGACGGUUUUGCUGUCACUUAUAGAUGGACCCGCGCCGUAUUAGCUAGUUGGUAAGGUAACGGCUUACCAAGGCAACGAUACGUAGCCGACCUGAGAGGGUGAUCGGCCACACUGGAACUGAGACACGGUCCAGACUCCUACGGGAGGCAGCAGUAGGGAAUCUUCCGCAAUGGGCGAAAGCCUGACGGAGCAACGCCGCGUGAGUGAUGAAGGUCUUCGGAUCGUAAAACUCUGUUAUUAGGGAAGAACAAGUGCGUAAG